AACGAACGCUGGCGGCAUGCCUAACACAUGCAAGUCGAACGAAACCUUCGGGUCUAGUGGCGCACGGCUGCGUACCGCGUGGGAACCUGCCCUUAGGUUCGGUAUAACUCCCCGAAAGGGGUGCUCAUACCGGUUAAUGUCUUCGGACCAAAGAUUUAUCGCCUUUGGAUGGGCCCGCGUUGGUUUAGCUAGUUGGUAGGGUAAAAGCCUACCAAGGCGACGAUCCAUAGCUGGUCUGAGAGGAUGAUCAGCCACACUGGGACUGAGACACGGCCCAGACUCCUACGGGAGGCAGCAGUGGGGAAUAUUGGACAAUGGGCGAAAGCCUGAUCCAGCAAUGCCGCGUGAGUGAUGAAGGCCUUAGGGUUGUAAAGCUCUUUUACCCGGGAUGAUAAUGACAGUACCGGGAGAAUAAGCUCCGGCUAACUCCGUG
This 433-nucleotide ribosomal RNA is filed under the name uncultured bacterium. RNAcentral's name for it is "partial 16S ribosomal RNA". It matches the Rfam family "Bacterial small subunit ribosomal RNA", at positions 29 to 507 of the family's 1533-position model. The record is from RNAcentral.